RNAcentral lists this non-coding RNA (45 nucleotides) under Trichobilharzia regenti. Lineage: Eukaryota; Metazoa; Platyhelminthes; Trematoda; Strigeidida; Schistosomatidae. The record is from RNAcentral.
AUCCUACCGACGAGUCCCAAAUAGGACGAAACGCGUAUCCCAGAU